This 429-nucleotide ribosomal RNA is filed under the name Gemmatimonadota bacterium. RNAcentral describes it as "Gemmatimonadetes bacterium partial 16S ribosomal RNA". It matches the Rfam family "Bacterial small subunit ribosomal RNA", at positions 355 to 776 of the family's 1533-position model. Lineage: Bacteria; Pseudomonadati; Gemmatimonadota. The record is from RNAcentral.
UAGGGAAUCUUCGGCAAUGGACGAAAGUCUGACCGAGCAACGCCGCGUGAGUGAAGAAGGUUUUCGGAUCGUAAAACUCUGUUGUUAGAGAAGAACAAGGACGUUAGUAACUGAACGUCCCCUGACGGUAUCUAACCAGAAAGCCACGGCUAACUACGUGCCAGCAGCCGCGGUAAUACGUAGGUGGCAAGCGUUGUCCGGAUUUAUUGGGCGUAAAGCGAGCGCAGGCGGUUUCUUAAGUCUGAUGUGAAAGCCCCCGGCUCAACCGGGGAGGGUCAUUGGAAACUGGGAGACUUGAGUGCAGAAGAGGAGAGUGGAAUUCCAUGUGUAGCGGUGAAAUGCGUAGAUAUAUGGAGGAACACCAGUGGCGAAGGCGGCUCUCUGGUCUGUAACUGACGCUGAGGCGCGAAAGCGGGGGGAGCAAACAGG